GAUGAACGCUGGCGGCGUGCCUAAUACAUGCAAGUCGAGCGAACGGAUGAGAAGCUUGCUUCUCUGAUGUUAGCGGCGGACGGGUGAGUAACACGUGGAUAACCUACCUAUAAGACUGGGAUAACUUCGGGAAACCGUAGCUAAUACCGGAUAAUAUUUUGAACCGCAUGGUUCAAAAGUGAAAGACGGUCUUGCUGUCACUUAUAGAUGGAUCCGCGCUGCAUUAGCUAGUUGGUAAGGUAACGGCUUACCAAGGCAACGAUGCAUAGCCGACCUGAGAGGGUGAUCGGCCACACUGGAACUGAGGCACGGUCCAGACUCCUACGGGAGGCAGCAGUAGGGAAUCUUCCGCAAUGGGCGAAAGCCUGACGGAGCAACGCCGCGUGAGUGAUGAAGGUCUUCGGAUCGUAAAACUCUGUUAUUAGGGAAGAACAUAUGUGUAAGUAACUGUGCACAUCUUGACGGUACCUAAUCAGAAAGCCACGGCUAACUACGUG
This 497-nucleotide ribosomal RNA is filed under the name uncultured bacterium. RNAcentral describes it as "partial 16S ribosomal RNA". It matches the Rfam family "Bacterial small subunit ribosomal RNA", at positions 28 to 507 of the family's 1533-position model. The record is from RNAcentral.